Molecule: ribosomal RNA, 429 nt
Filed under: uncultured eukaryote
Lineage: Eukaryota
Description: bacterial SSU rRNA
Rfam family: Eukaryotic small subunit ribosomal RNA
Source: RNAcentral
AAAGGCUCGUAGUCGGAUUUUGGCAUCACGCCGCACUGUCUGCCGAUUGGUAACUUUGGUUUGGCGGGUGCUUCCUUCCGGUGCUGUUUUCUGCUCUUACCUGAGCGGUUCGUUGGUUCCGGUUCUUUUACUUUGAGAAAAUUAGAGUGUUCAAAGCAGGCCUAUGCUCUGAAUAGGCUAGCAUGGAAUAAUAGAAUAGGACUUUGGCUCUAUUUUGUUGGUUUCUAGGACCGAAGGAAUGAUAAAUAGGGACAGUUGGGGGCAUUCAUAUUCCAUUGUCAGAGGCGAAAUUCUUGGAUUAACGGAAGAUGAACUUCUGCGAAAGCAUCUGCCAAGGAUGUUUUCAUUGAUCAUGAACGAAAGUUAGGGGAUCGAAGACGAUCACAUACCGUCGUAGUCUUAACCAUAAACUAUGCCGACUAGGGAUGU